GUCUACAGCCAUGCCACCCUGAACAAGCCCAAUGCCGUCUGAUUUCAGAAGCUAUGCAGGGUUGGGCCUGGUUAGUACUUGGAUGGGAGACCACCAGGGAAGACUAGGUACUGUAAGCA
RNAcentral lists this ribosomal RNA (119 nucleotides) under Pteropus alecto (black flying fox). Lineage: Eukaryota; Metazoa; Chordata; Mammalia; Chiroptera; Pteropodidae. The record is from RNAcentral.